UACGGAGGAUGCGAGCGUUAUCCGGAUUUAUUGGGUUUAAAGGGUGCGUAGGCGGGACGUCAAGACAGCGGUGAAAGGCUGUGGCUCAACCAUAGCAUUGCCGUUGAAACUGGCGACCUUGAGUGCGGCAGAGGCAGGCGGAAUGUGUGGUGUAGCGGUGAAAUGCUUAGAUAUCACACAGAACAUCGAUUGCGAAGGCAGCUUGCUGGAGCGCAACUGACGCUGAGGCACGAAAGCGUGGGUAUCGAAC
This 250-nucleotide ribosomal RNA is filed under the name uncultured prokaryote. Its description in RNAcentral is "partial 16S ribosomal RNA". It matches the Rfam family "Bacterial small subunit ribosomal RNA", at positions 524 to 773 of the family's 1533-position model. The record is from RNAcentral.